Molecule: ribosomal RNA, 777 nt
Filed under: uncultured Neocallimastigales
Lineage: Eukaryota; Fungi; Neocallimastigomycota; Neocallimastigomycetes; Neocallimastigales
Description: partial large subunit ribosomal RNA
Rfam family: Eukaryotic large subunit ribosomal RNA
Source: RNAcentral
UACGACUACAUAUCAGGCAUAUCAAUAAGCGGAGGAAAAGAAACUAACUAGGAUUCCCUCAGUAACGGCGAGUGAAGCGGGAAGAGCUCAAAUUUGAAAUCUUCAAGGUUCUACCUUGACGAAUUGUAGUUUAAAGAAGUGUUUUCUGUUGGAGUUUUGGUAAAAGUUCUUUGGAAUAGGACAUCAUAGAGGAUGAGAAUCCCGCAUUUGACCAUUACUUCCAGCGUUGUGAUACACUUUCAAAGAGUCGGAUUGUUUGGGAAUGCAGUCCAAAAUGGGUGGUAAAUUUCAUCUAAAGCUAAAUAUUGGCGAGAGACCGAUAGCGAACAAGUACCGUGAGGGAAAGAUGAAAAGAACUUUGAAAAGAGAGUUAAACAGUACGUGAAAUUGUCAAAAGGGAAGCGUUUGACACCAGUGUUGUUUUCUCGAAAAUCAAUUAAAAAUGACCUGGAUUUUGUGUUGUAUUGACUUUAUCAGCUUUCUGCACUUUUUUCUUGUCUUUUUUAAUGCACUUUUCGUUUAACAAGUCAACAUCAAUUUCUUUUGUUGUAAAAGGGUCAUUGGAAGGUGGCUUUCACUUCGGUGAAAGUGUUUAUAGCCUUUGACUUCUGCAAUCGGAGAGAUUGAGGUCUGCAGCGUAGAUCCUUCGGGGUUAGAUACAUUUGUGCUAAGUUAUAGCUUUUCAUAGACAACUUGUUGACUAUGUUUAGUCAUUGUAGCUUACUCGCUUAUGCUAAUUUUACCUACGCUUAGGAUGUUGAUCUCUCACAGUCGAGC